This 253-nucleotide ribosomal RNA is filed under the name uncultured bacterium. Its description in RNAcentral is "partial 16S ribosomal RNA". It matches the Rfam family "Bacterial small subunit ribosomal RNA", at positions 524 to 776 of the family's 1533-position model. The record is from RNAcentral.
UACGGGGGGGGCAAGCGUUGUUCGGAAUUACUGGGCGUAAAGGGCUCGUAGGCGGCCAACUAAGUCAGACGUGAAAUCCCUCGGCUUAACCGGGGAACUGCGUCUGAUACUGGAUGGCUUGAGAUUGGGAGAGGGAUGCGGAAUUCCAGGUGUAGCGGUGAAAUGCGUAGAUAUCUGGAGGAACACCGGUGGCGAAGGCGGCAUCCUGGACCAACACUGACGCUGAGGAGCGAAAGCCAGGGGAGCAAACCGG